CUGUCAGCAGCAGAGCGCGCGCACUUAACCACCAAGCCACGGGGCCGACCCCUAAUGUGUCAUUCUUUAUGAGGUGUAUGUGAGAAAGUUGGCUUCUUCUUGUAUAAUUAUUCUCUGAGGUUACUGCUCUGAGGUUUUGAUGAAUAAUAUAGGUAAAAAUGUUAAAUCUGAGAAACUGCUAUUAUUUGUGUGGUGCAGCCAAGUACACUGGAAAGAGCAUAAGCUUUGAGGUUGAAUUCAUACUCUCCCCGUUGUACAACCUGAACCUGGGUUUCCUCAUCUGUAAAAGGUGAAUAAUAACAUCUACCUUAUAUAAUUUUGUUAGGUUAAAUUAUAUGAUCUGAGUAAAGUGCUUGACAUAUAGCUGGGCUCCAAUAUGUAUCCUAGCUAUCACUAUUAUUAGUCUUAUUUUUGUUAUUGUCAUUGUUUUUAUAGCACACAAUUAUUUCCUUAAGGCCAUUGCUCUGCUAUAGUAGGCAUGAAUAAACAAAAAAACAACAAGAAAGUAAGGUGAGUCUAGAUUUAAUUUUGUUGUUCUACUACUUUUCCUUUCUAUAAUCUGUUAUUUUUCCUAUUAACUAUCACCUUUGUGUACUGUUAAAUUGUCUUUUUUUUCAAGUAAUCCUAACACAUGUCUGGAAAAAACACUGCAAGAGAACAUCAGGUAGGACUAUAAGUGUCAUAUAAUGAAGGAAAGAAGAGAGAGAAAGUGCAAAGAAUGACUUGAAACAGCAGACUCGAAAGAUCAAGAUAAGAACUGGCACCUCUGGACUGUAUUCUUUAACAUAUAUCACUGUAAUUUUCUAUGAAUAUACUUAGCGCCACCCUUCCUUUUUACAUUUGGAAUUGAGACUUACCUGGUAAAGAAUUUUUUCCCUUAGGGUAAAGAGCCUGCAGUGAAAUGAUUAUGUGUAUUGAAAGAGGGAAAGGAGUUAUUAAGAUAAGACAUUUGAACCAAAGAGUAAAAAUUCACAGGUUUAGAUGUGUGGUGCCGGGAAAUCCCAAGUAUCUAACCUCAUGAAUUGAUUUGCAAGAGGGAAGGAGGCCUUCAUUUAUUCAUUAAAAAAUGCCAGAUACAGGGAUAAAUGCUAGGUAUAUACAAGUACACAAGACUGAGAAGGUCACUGCUUAGCCUUUCAGACGGAAGUUUUUGUGUAGAUGACUGAGGAUAGGAAUUAAGGCAUCAGUAAACAGACUCUAAAUCAGCCCUAUAGAAUGUGUAAGCCCUGGGGAGACAAUGAGAAGGAAGAAAAAGAAAACAGAAAGCUGUUUUACAGAGGAAUUUUGUGAAAGAGGAAGGGACAAGCAUUGCUUUUCAAUGUUUAGAUAACAAAGUGAGUCACAGUAAUACAGGGACAUACUCGUAAUUUUUGCAAGGAACAUAAGUACAAUAAAGAGUGAAGCAAAUGCAGCACCAUGAGGUAUCUUGAGGGUUUGUGGGUUUGGCGGCACCAGGUGACAGCACCCAAGACAGGUAAGCAGCAUUCUCACGGAAGGCACUGGUGGUGAAAUGGCAGAGCAUCAGCAGAGACCACAAUGUCUGGUGGCAGACUGGGGAUGCCCAACAGACAUGGCGGUACUCAGCAGAUGCCCAGCGAAUGAUGAUGGGUACCCAAUGGCAGAUGAUGGAUGACCACUGGGAGAUGAUGGAUGACCAGCAGAUACAGUGAAUGUUGGCAGGUAAUGGUGGAUACAUACAUGUGUGAUGAAAGCCCAGAAUAGUGAUUUAUUCACAAUCACAUGUGAGACAACUCCUGGGGACUUCUAGAAGUACUUGGAGGGAAAGUGUAUUUUUCUAGAAUUGGAGUAACUUUGUAUGCGCAUGGGGAUAAUAAGCUAGUGACUUCACGGUAUUGAUAUCAAGGUUGUAUCUUUUGUGCCCACAAGCUGUGAGACCUGUCACAAACUUAAAUGCUUUUAGGGACUAGGCAGGUAAUAUCAGUGAGGAAGACAGCAAGAGGUAAGAAAAUGGGGAGUGGUAGAAAACAUAGCAAAGAUGGAACCUACACACUUUUAAAAGGUAUCCAAUUUACAAAGUUUAAAAUCAUUGGCUAAGCUAAAAGAAAACACACCUGCAGGCAGAAGUCAGAUAAAGGGCUGCCAGUUCGUGACCUUUGGUUUAGGUGAACACUAAGUAUCAAUGUCCUAGAGCUUAAUCUAUCAUUUAUCUAGGAAUGUGGUAUUACCUUUACACAAAAUAUCAUUUCAUUUUGAGAAUGAACUCCAGGGAUACAAAUUUUGGAGAUAUUUUAUAUAUAUGAGAAGAUUGUUUUCUAUUUGGUGUUUCUUAGGCCUGUGUUUAAUAAUCAGUUGUGCCACUGGCAAGUUCUGAAGUCUUAGGCACAUUAUUUAACUUCUCUAAACGUUAGUUUCUUUAUCUUUAAAAUAUGAAAAAAAAAUCAUAGGUAUCAUUUGUGUGGAUUAAAUGAGUUAAUAUAGGCAAAAUUCUUUGCAGAGUGCCUGGGAAAUAGCAUGUUCUCAAUGAUAUUUAUGGUGCAUGUGAAGAUGAAAUGCAGUAUUGUAGUUCAGUGCCUUAGAGAGUUACUAAUCAACAAAUCCUUUCCAAUUCUCAUUAAUAUACUUAAAGAGUCGGUUAAUUUUCUUUGUACAUAGACAAUCCUAUGAUAUAUUUUGGUAACAACUAACUCUUUUAUAACUUCCACAGGAAUUUUAGCUACUGGACUUAUUUCUGAUGAACAGAUUUCUCAACUCAAGUGAACAGAGGACCAAACCCAAUACACUUACCUUCUCAAAGGAUCCAAAUUGAAUAUUUAGUAUUUGUACGGUGUAAAAUGGACUACUAUUUAGCCUUAAAAAAGAAUGAAAUUCUGCAAUAUGUGACAGCAUGGAUAAACCUUGAACACAUUAUGCUAAGUGAAAAAAGCUACUCACAGAAAGACAAAGACUGCAUGAUUCCACUUAUAUGAGAAACAUGGAUUGUAGACUGCAUGAAGAGGAAUAGCUGUCCUUGAGUGCUUAUUAUGUGCCAGGCACUUAGCUUGGCAACAUUUAAAAAGAUAACUUAGAAUAUAUUUAUUCAAGAUGAUGAGCCACUUUUUCCUUCUUUCUAUAAGAGAUGGUACUGGGUAUGUGUACUGCCUAGAACACAGGAGUGGGAGCAUGUUUCUGUCACUGUUCCAUUCUGUACAUUGUAAGACGACUGUCAUUGUUCACAAAUGACAGUCAACAACAGAGUAUCUAUGUAUGAUUUUAAUAUAUUAUAAAAUGUCUCUUUUGUUUUUGAAGACUCUGCUACUGAUAUAUUUAAUAAACAUGAUACACACAGCCAAUUCCUUAAGUCACACAGUUUGCUUUUUUCUUCAUUUCCCAAAUGCUACAAGUAAAAUAAUUAACUUUAUGAGCGUUUACUAUGAUACCUGACACAAAUUUAUGACAUAAUUUGAGAUUGAAAAAUUAAUAAAAUUGUACUUACCGUAAAGGAUUGCAAGCAGAGACAGUGGCAUGACAAGUAGUCCCACCAGCAUAUCAGCAAUGGCUAGGGACAUUAAGAAGUAGUUGGUGGCAUUGUGCAGUUUCUUUUCCAAGCUUACUGCCAUGAUAACGAGAAUGUUGCCACCUAUUGUCAGGAUUAUUAUUAUGACGAUUGAAAGUGCUGGCCAGUUUUGUACCCCGUCUGGGAAUUUGAAGCGUCCACCAUCGGAGGUAUUGAAAAUGUCAGUUACUAUAGCUGCAACUGGGCUCACAGAAAUAUCGCAUUGCCAAACCAAUAGGCCAAUUAGGUGCACACUGAAAAGUAAGAAAAAAAUAAUCAGGCACAUAUUAUAUUGCUUAUACCUAACAAAUUGCUUAUACAAAAUGAUUGCUUUUAACAAUCAUUAUCAUCAUCAUUAUCAUCACUUCUACUCUCUUAAUUAAACCUCGGUAUUCUUUCUAUCCAAAGAAUACUUUUAUUGAGUGCUUAUGAUGAAUCAGGCACUUAGCUUACUGAAAUAUAUAUGUAUAAUCGCAUUUGAUCUCAUACAACAACUUUGUGAGGUUAGUACUGAUUUAUAUCCAAUAUGUAGAUGAAGAGACUAAGGUUCAGAGAGGUUAAGUACCUUUUUCAAGGCAAUACAGACAGUAAGCGGCAGGGGUAGGUCCACGCUCAGAUGUCACUGAUUUCAAAGUCUGUGUUUUAAAUUUUCACUCUACACAAACAAUCUGAAACCACAGUACUGUUUGAUUUGCUGUAAUCAAACAAUACUGUGUUUAUUUUUUAUAAAUACAGGUCUAUUCUUUAUAUUUUUAAAAUAUUAAUUUCUUCUAGAUAUCCUCUGAAACAACUGACAACAGAAUGAGAAGGGAUUUUCUUUUAAGUAUGCAGUACCCUGACAAGAAAAUUGAAGUUGCCUUCUUUUAAUCCAAAGCCAAGAAGGAAUGAGUUCCCAUCGGACCAACUUCAGGCAAGAUUUUGGAUGAGGCACAGUGGGUUUUGGCAAUAGCACAUAUUCAUUUCUUUCUAGAACUCUUCUUACCUUCUCACGGUUGCAGAGUGACCUUAUGCUGGUCCGUAGUUUCUUAAUAUCUGUGCUAUAAAUUUUCCUUCUACCUGACACUCUACCCAUUUCUGUUCUAUGCCUUCUGGGCCUUGUUCUAGGCUAGAAGAUGAUUUGAGGUGACGAUUAAUUGAUAUGGGUUUGCUGCUUUCCUAUGCCAGAAGUGAAAUCUCUUAAGUCAUUUAAAAUGUACAUUUCACAUGAUGGUACUUCAGUAGAUUUUACUAAUAGGAAUUUCAGGCCAGGUGGCAGACUAAUGCAAGAGAAGUGGGCGUGGCUAUGUUUUGCACAUUUCAAAUUCAUUUCCCCCACUGGUGAUAUGAGAUUUAUUCAGGUUACAUAAAGUGUCCUCUCAAAGUCUAAGUUCCUGAAGUGUCUAAGAAAACUAACAUGUAUUUUCCUUAAUAAAAUAGACAAGACAGACAAACAUAUUCAAUAUUUCUUUCUUAAAAGCAAGGAUUAUUAUCCAUAAAUGACUGUCUUAUGUGUAUUCUAUCUUCAGUAAUAUCUAAUGAAUAUUAAGCAGCAACUAUACUAUAUGUAGUGGUUGUUAAAACUUGGCAUUAUUUAUAGAGGAAAAAAUUUCCUCUACUGGUACAAUAUGUGCUGAACAAUUUUCAAUGCUAGACAGUUGAAGUAAGAUUCUUUUGGGAAUUGGGGAGAUGGAAUACAUGACAAUACAACAUCCAGAGUCUAUGAGUUUUCCAUGUAAAUGCUUUUAUUUCAUUAUCUCAUUCACUUGUUCUUUGAACUAAAAGUAUUAUCUCCAUACAGGCAAAAUAUAUGUGUAAUUUGAUUGACUCAUUACUUACUAUCAAUCAUCAGAGAAACUUGCAGUAUUAAAACUAGAUGAUUAUGAUUAUUGUAAUCAUAUCAUCUCUAUAAUAUUAUACACACACACCAUCUUUUCUGAAUUGAGUGGAACACUAAGCCUGAAAAAUUAUUGGCAUUAUUUAAACAAGUAAAAAUAUUGUAAUAAUUUUCUAGUAUAUUUAAUUAUUAUUUCUCUUAAUACCUUGUUAAUAUACUUCUAUGUAUUUUAAGAUAAUGAAGAAAUCAUAAAAAUAUUUUGACUUUCUACAAGAAAUAGAAAACUA
Molecule: long non-coding RNA, 5593 nt
Organism: Diceros bicornis minor
Lineage: Eukaryota; Metazoa; Chordata; Mammalia; Perissodactyla; Rhinocerotidae
Exons: 4
Source: RefSeq, a predicted model, not a curated record